GAUGAACGCUGGCGGCGUGCCUAAUACAUGCAAGUCGAGCGAACGGACGAGAAGCUUGCUUCUCUGAUGUUAGCGGCGGACGGGUGAGUAACACGUGGAUAACCUACCUAUAAGACUGGGAUAACUUCGGAAAACCGGAGCUAAUACCGGAUAAUAUUUUGAACCGCAUGGUUCAAAAGUGAAAGACGGUCUUGCUGUCACUUAUAGAUGGAUCCGCGCUGCAUUAGCUAGUUGGUAAGGUAACGGCUUACCAAGGCAACGAUGCAUAGCCGACCUGAGAGGGUGAUCGGCCACACUGGAACUGAGACACGGUCCAGACUCCUACGGGAGGCAGCAGUAGGGAAUCUUCCGCAAUGGGCGCAAGCCUGACGGAGCAACGCCGCGUGAGUGAUGAAGGUCUUCGGAUCGUAAAACUCUGUUAUUAGGGAAGAACAUAUGUGUAAGUAACUGUGCACAUCUUGACGGUACCUAAUCAGAAAGCCACGGCUAACUACGUG
Molecule: ribosomal RNA, 497 nt
Filed under: uncultured bacterium
Lineage: Bacteria
Description: partial 16S ribosomal RNA
Rfam family: Bacterial small subunit ribosomal RNA
Source: RNAcentral